UAACCGCUUGCGCGAGUACGCGAUGCACACAGAAGGCCGCGUUGUGUGUAGUGCCGCCGGACCGGAGGUGGCAAAAAAGCCUUUUCUUUUCUCGCGUCCACCUCCUCCUCUGGUCACUGCGUCGCUUACUGCCGCUGGGUGCCGGAGCGUAAAUUUGGAAACAGAUCGCAAUCAAAGGGGGCUCCCCUCACGAUAGCGAGAAGGGCUGAAAGGCCAGAAAAUUAGCAGGCAAACUGUAGCCGCUGAAGCUAUGGUGCCGCUGACUCCCGGUUCCAUCAAUGCUUUUUGUAAAAUUGGCCAGAGACAGAUGGCAGUAUACUCGACAAACCUGCGCCAAGGAAGCCUUCAUUGGUCCAUGACUUACGCAUAACGUUGCAGCGAUCGUGUAUAGGUUUGCGCAGCAACACAGUAAACUUCAGUUUCGCGCAAAUGAGGGGCUCUUUUAAUAGUGAGGUGCUCGCGUGCGUGUGGCCGACGGCCGAGUCUGACGUCAACAGCAUCGGGACGUUUCGGAUGCCCGAAAAGUGCCGAGCCGCGACGGAAGCAAGAACACCAAGAGACUCAAGAGGAAGGAAGCAUCCGAGUGAACAUUCAACGCCGGCUGCACCGCAAUGGCACAGAAUCAUAAACGGAACGGUACGGCGUGCUACCCACGCUGGCGGCCAAAAGCGGGGCAAGGUCAGGUCGCAAGGUCCCUCCACCCUUCGCCAUCUGAAGGAGUCGUUUUUCAGGAAGUAACGACUCGGCGUGUAAUCGGGUGCGAGUUGCUGCCGAGAUAAAAACGUGGGCUGCCUCACGCCAGCUGCCUUGAUAACGUCCCCCGUGUAACGAUGGCGAAGUUAGAAAUUGUAUUAUUGGAGCAAGACCAAUACUUCACGUACGUGGGUAAAAUGAACAAGUGAAAGGUGUUCACGUUA
This is a long non-coding RNA of Dermacentor silvarum, 917 nucleotides long. RefSeq lists it as uncharacterized. Lineage: Eukaryota; Metazoa; Arthropoda; Arachnida; Ixodida; Ixodidae. The transcript is spliced from 5 exons. The record is from RefSeq and is a predicted model, not a curated record.